This 252-nucleotide ribosomal RNA is filed under the name uncultured prokaryote. RNAcentral's name for it is "partial 16S ribosomal RNA". It matches the Rfam family "Bacterial small subunit ribosomal RNA", at positions 523 to 774 of the family's 1533-position model. The record is from RNAcentral.
AUACGUAGGGGGCUAGCGUUGUCCGGAAUCAUUGGGCGUAAAGCGCGUGUAGGCGGUCCGGUAAGUCCGCUGUGAAAGUCGGGGGCUCAACCCUCGAAUGCCGGUGGAUACUGUCGGGCUAGAGUACGGAAGAGGCGAGUGGAAUUCCUGGUGUAGCGGUGAAAUGCGCAGAUAUCAGGAGGAACACCAAUUGCGAAGGCAGCUCGCUGGGACGUUACUGACGCUGAGACGCGAAAGCGUGGGGAGCAAACA